Molecule: long non-coding RNA, 1375 nt
Filed under: Anas platyrhynchos platyrhynchos (common mallard)
Lineage: Eukaryota; Metazoa; Chordata; Aves; Anseriformes; Anatidae
Description: lncRNA (ENSAPLG00000027502.1)
Source: RNAcentral
GGAGAAAGGAAUGCAAGGAGCUGAAUUGUGCCAAAUUACAAGCAAUUGUAAAGCAAUAUAUUUGUGCUUAAAUGUUUCCAUGCUCAUUUCCCUAACACCUGCAAUGUCCAUACAGCUUCAGAGAUAAAACCCGAGUAACAACUAAAAAGCCGGCCACCCUAUCUGCAGCAGGGUGUUUGCUUUCCUUUGCCUAAUUUCACUUUAAGCUUUUUGCAGCUCCCCAGCUCCUGAUAGCAUCACGCCCUGCAAACACCUGUGCAUUAUUAUAGCCUUCCUCCGCUUUAAUGUAGUCAGCCUUCAUGAUAGUAGUUAGUACAUCAUCAGUUAGUUCCCCAAAGUGCUGAUACCAUUUUAGGUGUUUAUUAAUUAAUUUAUUUUUUUUUUCUGCACUGGACAGCCUUUUUGAAACCCAAGGAUUUGGAAACCAAAGAGUCAGCUGUCAGAACUGUGUAGAGAGGAACAGUUUGGCUGGGAGCUCGCACGUCUGCCUUUGCAUCACAGAAGCUUUUUGUGCUGGUGUGUGGAAAGCAAACACCAUUAGACCUCAUGGGCCUCACAUGGCAAAAAAAAAAAAUAAAUAAAAUCUAAAAAUCCCCUCCCAUUAGGAACAGCUCUGUUACCUCUGCCCAGAGCCUGUACAAUCCCUCAGGCCCUGCAGGGCAAAGCCCUCACAAAACCCCCAAACAGGGCAGUCCAGAGACAACCCACCCACAUCCCACUGCUGCAAGCAUGGCUUUGCUGCACCCACAGUGCUCCCAGCCCCCAGAAAUGCUGGAAAACGACAGAACAAGUGAUUGCUGUGCCUCCAAGAGAACACCUGCAUCACUACAUCACCCUCCCAGGUUUUUUUGGGAGGGAAGAAAGCAAAACAAGCCUCAGCAGAACAGCUUCCUGAUCCAGGGACCUCACAGGAGGGUGUAAGGCUCUUUGCUUCCAGCCCUGGAGCUCCACCACAAAGCCUUGCCAGCGCCUCUCAGCCCCUGUGAGCCUCCUUGGCUCGGUACCAGCCCUGUGUGCUUUGGAGGUGGGGCUUUCACUGCUCCUGGACAACUUCAGUACCGGAGUUUUUCUCCUCGAAGGAAAGUCCGCAAAGUGCUGUGCGUUGAUGAAGAGCAGAGAUGAACCAACUGACCAUAAAUUAUGCACUCACAAGCUAAAUCUAGAUAGCUAGUGGGUAGAGCAUAACAGCCGUGAUGGAUGGCUUUCCUCCAGCAGGCAGACAGCCUGGGGACUAGGGAAAAAAAAAGCCAAAGUGGCUGCGGAGAUGCCUGGGAGGCUCUCCAGCAAGUCCUAGCAUGGACCAGUCUCCCCUGCCAUCCCAGCAGGGUUUAUGGUGGAAGCAAUGAAAUCCUCUUCACCCCGGUUGCUUCUCCCC